GAGCCAGUGCCUCAAUGGUGGAGAGUUCGACUCAAAUACCAAAGGUCGCGGGUUCGAAUCCCACGUGUUUCA
This 72-nucleotide transfer RNA is filed under the name Schistocephalus solidus. It matches the Rfam family "tRNA". From Rfam's summary of the family: Transfer RNA (tRNA) molecules are approximately 80 nucleotides in length. Their secondary structure includes four short double-helical elements and three loops (D, anti-codon, and T loops). Further hydrogen bonds mediate the characteristic L-shaped molecular structure. tRNAs have two regions of fundamental functional importance: the anti-codon, which is responsible for specific mRNA codon recognition, and the 3' end, to which the tRNAs corresponding amino acid is attached (by aminoacyl-tRNA synthetases). tRNAs cope with the degeneracy of the genetic code in two manners: having more than one tRNA (with a specific anti-codon) for a particular amino acid; and 'wobble' base-pairing, i.e. permitting non-standard base-pairing at the 3rd anti-codon position. Lineage: Eukaryota; Metazoa; Platyhelminthes; Cestoda; Diphyllobothriidea; Diphyllobothriidae. The record is from Rfam by way of RNAcentral.